Molecule: ribosomal RNA, 301 nt
Filed under: uncultured bacterium
Lineage: Bacteria
Description: partial 16S ribosomal RNA
Rfam family: Bacterial small subunit ribosomal RNA
Source: RNAcentral
CAGCCGCCGCGGUAAUACGUAGGUGGCAAGCGUUGUCCGGAAUUAUUGGGCGUAAAGGGCUCGCAGGCGGUUUCUUAAGUCUGAUGUGAAAGCCCCCGGCUCAACCGGGGAGGGUCAUUGGAAACUGGGAAACUUGAGUGCAGAAGAGGAGAGUGGAAUUCCACGUGUAGCGGUGAAAUGCGUAGAGAUGUGGAGGAACACCAGUGGCGAAGGCGACUCUCUGGUCUGUAACUGGCGCUGAGGAGCGAAAGCGUGGGGAGCGAACAGGAUUAGAUACCCGUGUAGUCCCUGUCUCUUAUAA